CCUACGGGGGGCAGCAGUGGGGAAUAUUGGGCAAUGGGCGCAAGCCUGACCCAGCAACGCCGCGUGAAGGAAGAAGGCCCUCGGGUUGUAAACUUCUUUUAACAGGGACGAAGAAAGUGACGGUACCUGUUGAAUAAGCCACGGCUAACUACGUGCCAGCAGCCGCGGUAAUACGGAGGUGGCAAGCGUUAUCCGGAUUUACUGGGUGUAAGGGGCGGGUGGGCGGGAGGGAAAGUCAGACGUGAAAUUCCAGGGCUAAACCCUGGAACUGCGUUUGAAACUGUUCUUCUUGAGUGAUGGAGAGGCAGGCGGAAUUCGGUGUGUAGCGGUGAAAUGCGUAGAUAUA
RNAcentral lists this ribosomal RNA (346 nucleotides) under uncultured bacterium. RNAcentral describes it as "partial 16S ribosomal RNA". It matches the Rfam family "Bacterial small subunit ribosomal RNA", at positions 338 to 698 of the family's 1533-position model. The record is from RNAcentral.